UCUUCCUCCACGGUCCAUCCCUUCAAUCAAAUGCUUUUCUAUGAGAAGCAUUUAAUUGGCCCUUGCAAGGGAGACUGAUGACAACAUGGGUGUGGAAACCAGCCCGGGAGCUUAGCCCGGCACUCGAUUCCAGGUACUCGUGUAUAUAUAGCUUCUUAUACUCUAUAAACGAGAUUAAUUGGUUGUCUGCAUUGACCCUCUAUGUACCUAGUUGCUUGUAAUUUGUUCAACUUUAAAUUGACCGUUUAUAGAGAGGAGCACACUGAAACUGAAUAAUACAUCUUCAAAGUGUUUUGUUUUGUUUCUGUCAGCUUAUAAAAGGACACUAUAGGCACCAAAACAACUUUAGCUUAAUGAAACAGUUUUGGUGUAUAGUCCAUGCCCCUCCAGUCUUACUGCUCAAUUCUCUGCAAUUUCAGCGUAAAAUCACUCUAUUUGUACAAUCCUAGCUUCACCUCUCCUGAUUGUGACUGACACCGCCUACAUGAAAACAAAAUGGUUUUUAUUUGCAUCCAGAUGUUAACCUUUUUAAAAAAAAAUAUUUAACAUCUAAAUGAAAAUGUAACUUUUUUGUUUUCAUGCAGGCUGUGUCAGUCACAGCCAGGGUAGGUGUAGCUGGGGUUGCAUAGCCAGGGUAGGUGUAACUGGGGUUGCAUAGACAGAAGCAAAAAUGAGUUAACUCCUAUAUGGCAGUCAAUUAAUCAGUGAAACAUCCGAGACACGAUCUAUACACCAAAACUGCUUCAGUAAGCUAAAGUUGUUUGGUGAAUAUGAUGUCCCUUUAAAUGCAGGGAAAUACAACUUAUGUAACAGAAAGGCAUACUCAUGUGCACUUGUUUUGAAACAAACACAUAGUGUGUGGUAGUACCCUCAAAUGUAUACAAUUUUUCACUGGACACGGAAGAACCUUUGCAUAGCAAUUGCUUGUUCCUAGCAGUUACUGGGUUGCAGGGCACUCUGCUGAUUGGCUGACUGAAAUAUCUAGAUAUUCACACCACGAGGUGACCAUUUUAGGCAGGGCUGUGAAAUGGUUAUUAGAUUUAAUGUAGUCUGGGUUGUUCAUAGCUUGCUCUUUCCAUCUAUUCUACAAGAGUGUUAUAAAUCGAUAUUGAAAGAUCAUGUUCCUUAGACUUUAGAGCUAUCAUUGCCUGAAUUGAGUAUUAGUUAGAUUUUUUUUAUUUUUACAUAUAUAUUUUGAAAGCCUCUUGCUGUUCCUUGAUAGGCCAGCAGAAGUUUAUAUAUCAAUAUAUAAGCCUCUGUGGUGGUAGACAAAAACGGAAGUAACUAAUGACAAAUCUACUUUAUGCAGUAAUACAGGUUGGAUUUUUAUCUGAACAUUAUUGAUGUUCCCAUUUAACUUGUUCUUCAAAAACUGCUAUGUCCGUGUCUACCAUGUGUCUUAGUCCUUUUUUUUUUUCCUAUACGCUCUGCUCUAGACUGAGUGUGCUUCAUGCCAAUCUUAUUUCCAGUUGAAGACCCAAUACAUUGAUUUCACUUUCUUUAGUUCCCCAUUGAUUAUUUUAUUGCGUUUAUUUACUUUCCUUACGAGUGUGACCCCAGAAGGGAAUUUUCUAUGUUGGUCAUCAGAAUGGUUAUCGGGCUGUGAAUGACCUUUUUAAGAUUUGGACAUUUCCAGUCGCUGUGUUUAUAUACUGAGACCAUCAAAAUUUAAUUUAUUUCAUUUAAAAUGAUAGGAACUAAUUCUAUUCUUCCACGAUGACUUGCAAUUAGAAAUUAACACUGAUCAUAAAUAAUGUAUAUAACUGAAAAGCCAGACUUUCCCGAUGUCACUGCCUAUAAAUUAGAUUUCUAUACAUAUAUAAAUAUAUACAAUGUAUAAUAUUGUUUAUGAACACAUAUAAAUAUAUACUGCGUUUACAUACAUGUACCAUGUGAGAUUGGUUACUUUCGUGUGUAAUCUCAAUAAAGAAUUACAAUUGAAACUUA
Molecule: long non-coding RNA, 1947 nt
Organism: Pelobates fuscus (common spadefoot toad)
Lineage: Eukaryota; Metazoa; Chordata; Amphibia; Anura; Pelobatidae
Exons: 2
Source: RefSeq, a predicted model, not a curated record